Long non-coding RNA from Astatotilapia calliptera (eastern happy), 387 nucleotides. The record is from Ensembl. NCBI's taxonomy places the organism in Eukaryota, Metazoa, Chordata, Actinopteri, Cichliformes, Cichlidae.
AGACACAGAAAACAAACAGUCAGAGUCUGAGACAAUCUGGGAGUAGUGAGUAGUAGCAGAGUUCAUCAUGGAUAAAAGAAUACUUUGCUGGAUAUGUCUGCUGGCAUAUUUUCAGACAUCUUUGGCACAAAAUGAUAUGGUUCUGUUGGCUUCAUCGGGUGAAGGCCUCCAGCUCGCACUGGAACGGUUCGCAGCCGAGUGUGAAGCAGCGGGAAUGAGGAUCAGCACCUCCAAAUCUGAGGCCAUGGUUCUCAGCCGGAAAAGGGUGGAGUGCCCACUCUGGGUCGGGGAUGAGUUCCUGCCCCAAGUGGAGGAGUUCAAGUAUCUCGGGGUCUUGUUCGCGAGUGAUGGGAGAAGGGAGCCGGAGAUCGACAGACGGAUUGGGGC